Molecule: long non-coding RNA, 912 nt
Organism: Passer montanus (Eurasian tree sparrow)
Lineage: Eukaryota; Metazoa; Chordata; Aves; Passeriformes; Passeridae
Exons: 6
Source: RefSeq, a predicted model, not a curated record
GGAAAAGAAACACCUCCAAUGAUUAGAUGGGUCUAGAUGGCCUUUUUUGGACCUUUUAUAUGACUUUACACUUCUAGAAUUACCCAGUGUUCUUCAGUGGUUCCAUUUCUCAUAAGACACUAAGUACUACUUUUCACUUGUAUUCACUGUAAUGCUGAAGUUCUUUUACCAAGCAAGAAUAGUAAUGAGAAGGGAGUAACAACUAUUCCAGCUUUUAUGUUCUCAUAUCCUCUGAAUAGUUGGAACAUGGUUAAUUGAAAGUUUCAAGGUCCUAUGUCUCUGUUCUAUUAAAUACUGUGAAAUACUCUGCUGCAUUUGACCCCGUUGCUAAGCUUUUCUGUUUCCUUGUGACAUCAGCCAGGAUCUCAGCCUUUGCUGUAUAUGAACUAUAUCACCCAACCUGAGAACCAUGCUGAGAAUUUGAUGGAGUGGAAAAAGUAAAGGUUCAGAGAUCGCCUUCUGAAGAGGAAUGUUAUGUUGGAGGCUCCAUGAUUGAAGUAAAUUAAGAGGAAAAGCUGCCUGACAAUAAGUAGUUCCACGGUCUGACAUCAAAAUAUCUUCCAUCAAAACCAUGUCAUUUUCAUCCACCCUUGCUACUGUCCAAACUAAUCUGUUACCUGACUAUUGGGCCACUGCUGAAGACACAAGAGAUUCUAAUUAUGGGAAAAGUGUUUGGUUUAUGCAGCUUAAACAAAAUUAGAAGUGAAGUAUUUUAUUGAUUUCUUAAAGAUACAUAAUUAACCCACAGACAGUGGAUGAGGAUCAACAUCAACUUACCAACAUGGUCCUAGGGACUUGCAAAGGAUUAAUAAAUACUUACAAAUUUGCUGUUUGCUUCUGUAAUUAUUCUCAAAAAAUUCUAAUCUCAGCCACAUGCAGAAUGAUGGUAAAUCACUUCUCCUUCACAGGCAA